GAGGUUAAGCGACUAAGCGUACACGGUGGAUGCCCUGGCAGUCAGAGGCGAUGAAGGACGUGCUAAUCUGCGAUAAGCGCCGGUAAGGUGAUAUGAACCGUUAUAACCGGCGAUUUCCGAAUGGGGAAACCCAGUGUGACUCGUCACACUAUCAUUAACUGAAUCCAUAGGUUAAUGAGGCGAACCGGGGGAACUGAAACAUCUAAGUACCCCGAGGAAAAGAAAUCAACCGAGAUUCCCCCAGUAGCGGCGAGCGAACGGGGAGGAGCCCAGAGCCUGAAUCAGCAUGUGUGUUAGUGGAAGCGUCUGGAAAGGCGCGCGAUACAGGGUGACAGCCCCGUACACAAAAGCGCAUAUGCUGUGAGCUCGAUGAGUAGGGCGGGACACGUGGUAUCCUGUCUGAAUAUGGGGGGACCAUCCUCCAAGGCUAAAUACUCCUGACUGACCGAUAGUGAACCAGUACCGUGAGGGAAAGGCGAAAAGAACCCCGGCGAGGGGAGUGAAAAAGAACCUGAAACCGUGUACGUACAAGCAGUGGGAGCACCCUUUGGGGUGUGACUGCGUACCUUUUGUAUAAUGGGUCAGCGACUUAUAUUCUGUAGCAAGGUUAACCGAAUAGGGGAGCCGGAGGGAAACCGAGUCUUAAUUGGGCGUUAAGUUGCAGGGUAUAGACCCGAAACCCGGUGAUCUAGCCAUGGGCAGGUUGAAGGUUGGGUAACACUAACUGGAGGACCGAACCGACUAAUGUUGAAAAAUUAGCGGAUGACCUGUGGCUGGGGGUGAAAGGCCAAUCAAACCGGGAGAUAGCUGGUUCUCCCCGAAAGCUAUUUAGGUAGCGCCUCGUGAA
This 847-nucleotide ribosomal RNA is filed under the name Salmonella enterica. RNAcentral describes it as "partial 23S ribosomal RNA". It matches the Rfam family "Bacterial large subunit ribosomal RNA", at positions 1 to 888 of the family's 2925-position model. The record is from RNAcentral. Lineage: Bacteria; Pseudomonadati; Pseudomonadota; Gammaproteobacteria; Enterobacterales; Enterobacteriaceae.